UACGGAGGGAGCUAGCGUUAUUCGGAAUUACUGGGCGUAAAGCGCACGUAGGCGGCUUUGUAAGUAAGAGGUGAAAGCCUGGUGCUCAACACCAGAACUGCCUUUUAGACUGCAUCGCUUGAAUCCAGGAGAGGUGAGUGGAAUUCCGAGUGUAGAGGUGAAAUUCGUAGAUAUUCGGAAGAACACCAGUGGCGAAGGCGGCUCACUGGACUGGUAUUGACACUGAGGCACGAAAGCGUGGGGAUCAAACAGG
Molecule: ribosomal RNA, 253 nt
Filed under: uncultured bacterium
Lineage: Bacteria
Description: partial 16S ribosomal RNA
Rfam family: Bacterial small subunit ribosomal RNA
Source: RNAcentral